Long non-coding RNA from Sander lucioperca (pikeperch), 244 nucleotides. RefSeq lists it as uncharacterized. Lineage: Eukaryota; Metazoa; Chordata; Actinopteri; Perciformes; Percidae. The record is from RefSeq and is a predicted model, not a curated record. The transcript is spliced from 4 exons.
GGGCCGGACUUCCAAUUAAAGAAAAUAAAAUGUAUUUAUACCUAAAAUACCUAUGCUUGUUCAAUAUUUUCACUUUCUAACUGAAGUAAUGCUAUAUUUUUUUUUUUACAUGUAUUAGUGUGAGCAAACUCCUAAAAAAACAUGGAAACUCCAUAAUGAUAACGGGCUUUUAAACUAGAAAAUGAUCUCAGACUAGGAGGCAGUUCACUGAGGAGUGAUGGGUUGUAGAAAGAUAAAAAUAUGC